AGGCAAUUAUGAUGGUCAAGAUGUUGCUGUGAAGGUAUUGAAUUGGGGGGAGGAUGGCAUUGCCACUGAUGCUGAAAUUGCUGCUGUUCGGUCAUCAUUUCGGCAAGAGGUUGGUGUUUGGCAUAAACUUGACCAUGCAAAUGUUACAAAGUUUAUUGGAGCUUCAAUGGGAACUUCAAAUCUUAAAAUUCCUCCCAAAAAUCCUAUGAAUGGAAGUUAUGAUUCUCAUCCUUCCACAGCGUGCUGCGUUGUUCUCGAGUACCUUCCGGGUGGGACGUUAAAGAAAUUUUUAAUCAGAAAUAGGAGAAAGAAACUUGCCUUUAAGGUUGUGAUUCAACUUGCUUUGGACCUUUCCAGAGGUUUGAGCUAUCUUCAUUAUAAAAAGAUUGUACAUCGGGAUGUUAAGACAGAAAAUAUGUUGUUAGA
Molecule: unclassified non-coding RNA, 426 nt
Filed under: Hevea brasiliensis (rubber tree)
Lineage: Eukaryota; Viridiplantae; Streptophyta; Magnoliopsida; Malpighiales; Euphorbiaceae
Source: RNAcentral